This 315-nucleotide long non-coding RNA is filed under the name Nicotiana tabacum (common tobacco). RNAcentral's name for it is "long non-coding RNA (NTAB_LNC012070)". The record is from RNAcentral. Lineage: Eukaryota; Viridiplantae; Streptophyta; Magnoliopsida; Solanales; Solanaceae.
UUAAGUCAUCAGGCGCCCACCUGGAGAAUGAGAGAAUUUAUUUCAAGUUUUAAGUCAUUAGUCGCCCACCUGGAGAAUGAGGGAAUUCAUUUCAAGUUUUAAGUCAACAUCAGGCGCCCACCUGGAGAACGAGGGAAUUCAUUUCAAGUUUUAAGUCAUCAGGCGCCCACCUGGAGAACGAGGGAAUUUAUUUCAAGUUUUAAGUCAUCAGGCGCCCACCUGGAGAACGGGGGAAUUCAUUUCAAGUUUUAAGUCAUCAGAAGCCCACCUGGAGAACGAGGGAAUUCAUUUCAAGUUUUAAGUCAUCAGGCACCC